CAAAGAUUUAAGAGAAAAAAACAAAAAACAACACAAAUCCCAGUUUGAAAUUGGUUGAGAGAAUAAAUCUGACUGCUCUCAACAACCAGAACAAUAAAGCAUCAUAAGUAAAAGUGCUAUUCUAAAAGCUAAGCUAAGGAAAUGUGGCUUACUCUGUCAUUUUGCUGUGAUUCUCUGACAGGCUAUUGCUAUCUUUAUUUCCUGUUGUACUAUGGAUUGUAUCUUUAAUUAACAGCUUUAUAAUCUAAGUUAUUAAUUGCAUCAAUCUCCAAAUAAGAAAGAGAAGUUAAAGCCGUAUGUAAACAGUGUCAAAGCAUAACAACAUCUAAGAUCAACAGUAGAAUGGGAGACUAAUCUCAGUCUCUGUUAGAGGUACUGUUAUAUAAAAUGAACAUUUACUGAAUCUGAGCUUAUUCAUAAGGUUAUUCGUAUUUAACAGUAUUUUCUUCUUUGUGCAGAAAGGGUAGAACUAUCUCAUAGAGCACAAUGGAAAACAUCAACUCUUCAGAGAUUAAAGGAAUUUAUCUUCACAACAUUGACAUCUUUGUAACAAAAAAAACAAGAGGUCAUUGUUCUGUGACUACACAAGAGACAUUUUAAUAAGCAGCAAAACCAAACCAACCAACCAAAUCCAAACCAAACCCCACUUUAAAAAAAACUUAACUUGGUAAAAUAGAGUUUCCAGGAUACCUUGUAAUUAUGCACUAGUAACUCUUGCACCAAACAGAUUGACAGAUUGCUGCAUAAGAUUGCAUAUGAUCCUGUCUGCAAAGAUCUCUUUGCUGAAACAUGUCUCAUGUCUCUGCAAUUUAAAUAAGUAGAGAAACUGCAGGAAAUCUAACUAACCUGGAGAACACAGGCUGAGAACAUAAGAUAAUCUUGUCUUCAGUCAUGCUCUGAAGUACAGCUGAAGACCACAAGCAUUUUGGGAAGUAACCACAUGAAUGUUACUGCUUGACUUUCUAAAGCAUUUUAGGAAGCUUCAACACCACACGGUUUCA
Molecule: long non-coding RNA, 1001 nt
Filed under: Coturnix japonica (Japanese quail)
Lineage: Eukaryota; Metazoa; Chordata; Aves; Galliformes; Phasianidae
Description: lncRNA (ENSCJPG00005007727.1)
Source: RNAcentral